GUAGGGUGCAAGCGUUGUCCGGAAUUACUGGGCGUAAAGAGUUCGUAGGCGGUUUGUCGCGUCGUUUGUGAAAACCAGCAGCUCAACUGCUGGCUUGCAGGCGAUACGGGCAGACUUGAGUACUGCAGGGGAGACUGGAAUUCCUGGUGUAGCGGUGAAAUGCGCAGAUAUCAGGAGGAACACCGGUGGCGAAGGCGGGUCUCUGGGCAGUGACUGACGCUGAGGAACGAAAGCGUGGGUAGCGAACAGGAUUAGAUACCCUGGUAGUCCACGCCGUAAACNNUNUUCNCUAGGUGNGGGUUCCUUCCACGGAAUCNNAACCAAACCUNACGCAUUAAGCGCCCCGCCUGGGGAGU
Molecule: ribosomal RNA, 356 nt
Filed under: uncultured bacterium
Lineage: Bacteria
Description: partial 16S ribosomal RNA
Rfam family: Bacterial small subunit ribosomal RNA
Source: RNAcentral